RNAcentral lists this unclassified non-coding RNA (202 nucleotides) under Hevea brasiliensis (rubber tree). Lineage: Eukaryota; Viridiplantae; Streptophyta; Magnoliopsida; Malpighiales; Euphorbiaceae. The record is from RNAcentral.
GGAGCAGAGGAAUAGUUUGGUGAGGACCGAGGAAUGAAAGAGCGGCGGUUUGGAGCCGGUGAAGGACAGGGAUGGCAUUAAGAAAAUUUCGCAUCUCUCUAUCUCUACCUACACGUCUGUCACAGUAUAUAUAGAGGGUGCGAUUCCUCAAAGGCAGCACGCUACCUACUAUUACUGCUACUAGAACCUCUCUGAGAACUUU